UACGUAGGGUGCGAGCGUUGUCCGGAAUUAUUGGGCGUAAAGAGCUUGUAGGCGGUUUGUCGCGUCUGCCGUGAAAAUCCGGGGCUCAACCCCGGACUUGCGGUGGGUACGGGCAGACUAGAGUGUGGUAGGGGAGACUGGAAUUCCUGGUGUAGCGGUGAAAUGCGCAGAUAUCAGGAGGAACACCGGUGGCGAAGGCGGGUCUCUGGGCCACUACUGACGCUGAGAAGCGAAAGCAUGGGGAGCGAACAGG
This 253-nucleotide ribosomal RNA is filed under the name uncultured bacterium. RNAcentral describes it as "partial 16S ribosomal RNA". It matches the Rfam family "Bacterial small subunit ribosomal RNA", at positions 524 to 776 of the family's 1533-position model. The record is from RNAcentral.